UUUUAUUUUAUUUUUUUUUUUGAGGCAACACUUUAAAUAGAUUCUGAUCUUUGCCAUAUGGUGAGUCCCUUUGUUUAGCUGUGCAGUCUUGACGAGUCUUUCUUCCUGAAGACCUCUUUUGGGGUCUUAAUAUGUGGGGUUCAGAAGCAGGAGACUUUUCCAGCCCCUAAGGCACUUAAUCUUGGGGCUCUCUCCAUUCCCUUUGGUCUUUGCAAGAAAACCAUUGAUUUUCUGCCCGGGUUUAUUUAUAUUUUUCAGCAGAAACCAUCUCGAAUAUACUGUUAUUCUGGCUCUUUCCGUUCAUUUCUCCUGAACUACAGGUUCCUAGUCACACCGACCCCCUUCUUAGCACAACACACAACUGUUUCAUCUCGUGUUUUGCUCCCCCAGGAUACGGGUUACAGCUUUCUGUCUGCUGUAGCUAUUCCCCACAGCUAGCUGCUUGGCUGCUAAGCCAACCUAACAUACUGUAAACAUCCAUUCUCACAGAACCCCCUGGAAGGUCCCAAUAUUUGUUUUGGUUUCGAUUGUUUGUAGUAACAAGUGGACUCUAAAAUGUGUAAUGGCUCAAAUACAAUAGAAGUUAUUCUUCUCACUUAUGUUAACAUUCCAAGGCAAAUACAUCUGGUUGUCUCUUUCCUGUGAAGUGACUCAGUGACCCAGAAUCUUUCCAACUGGUGGCUCUGCUGUGUCCUGGGCUUUCAUUUUCCUCUGUAUCCAGCCAGUGGGAAGCGAAAGGAGGCAUGGAAAAGGCACAUUUAUUUCUUAAAAAGCCUCUUCGAAAUUGGUGUGCGUCAUGUCUGCUCAUACUCUGCUGGCUAGACCUCAGUCAUAUGGCCAGUCCUAAUUUCAAGGGAGGCCAAGAAAUGUAAAGUAGUCAUAGGACACAAGAAAGGAAAACAUGGAUUUUGGUAAAGACUGGGCAGUUUCUAUCACUGCCCAAUUAAAAGGAUUAUUAAAAGGAUUGCUUGGAAAGUUUUCCCUUAGAUAUGUUUUUCUUAUGUCAAUUUAAUUUAUGCCUUCAUUUCCCCCCUCUUAUUAAUAAUAAGUUUAUGAGAUUCUUAAAAAAUUCGUCCCCGUUUAUUUGGCUUUUAAUUACAUAGAAGCAUUUAGUGUAUUUUAUUAUAAGUCAUUAAAAAAGUACUAAUUAAACAAAAUCUUUCACAUAUUUGCUGAGACUUUUUAUUUUUAAAUUGAGAAUUACUUUAUUUUCAAAUGGGAAACAUCAUGGAAUAUUCUGAUAGUCUACGGAGAGAAAACGUUGACUUAAAUAUUUUGCAUACUGGAGAUGGAAAGUUACAAUCAAUUUGCAAUUAAAACGUAAUCUUGAGUGUAUAUAUAUAUAUAUAUAUAAAAUAAGGUAUGAUGAAUACCUAAAUCUCUCCACAACAAUAAAAACAUGAUGAUUUAAUGGUUUUCUAGUCAGAAUGCAGAUGUGCCUAUUUUCUGCUGGAAUUUCACUUUAUAUCAAUUGCAAUUCUGUGCAAGACAAUAAGCCAUGACCCAAAUGAAUAUCAUUGUUUUUGGAGUAAAUGUGUAAGCAAGUCUAUUAUUUUUGCUUCUUCAACCUUAAAUGUCUUAAUGGUGGAAACCCAACCUGUUUUGUUUGUGGGGAGGGGAAUGAAUUCAGCAGCAAGUACUGGGAGGGGAAAUACAUUCCUUAAACUUAGUUAGAGAUUAAAUUAUGAACCCAUUUAUUUUAAGCAGAAGUGUUUUAUUUUUUGUGUUUCAGUAGAGGCAACUCUACUGAAAUUUAAUUUUAAUUAAAAAAAAUUAAGCCAGAGAAAUUGAGCUUUGGUGUUCUACUUUUUAAAAAAGUUAACUCAAAAAACAGCUACUGGUUAAUUUUUGGAACUUAAGAUUUAAAGACAAUCAGAGGUUAGAUAGUAUUGCAGCAACUUUAAUUUCUGUCAGUUUUAGAGCACCAAAAGUUUAAAUUCUUUUCAUUAUGGAAAACAGUACAUGUAAAGUCUGUUUUUAUAAAUCUCUGUUGCUGGAAAUAAAAUGGAAAAGGGAAUAAAAUAUGAAAAAUAUAUCUAAACUCAAAGUCUUUAAGAAAUAAUACAAUAAAUGCCUAAUAAGAAAGAAUUGAAAAUCAACAAACUGCUAUUACCAAAUAAAAAGUGAUUUUGUCAAAUAGAAUUGACAAUACCAGUAUGAAUUAUGACAUGUUCACAGUAAAUGGAAGAGCACACUAGGUAACAGUGUAUGCAUAUGCCUAUUCCAGCUGAAGAUGCUGAGAUAAUUUUGAAGCUACUUUCAUUUUCGACUUCUUUGUGAACUUUAUUAUUUUAAAAAAAAUUCAAUUAGCCAACAUAUAGCACAUCAUUAGUUUUAGAUGUUGUGCUCAAUAAUUUAUUAUUUGCAUAUAUUUGUGAACUUCAAAGGAGAUGAUUUUAAAAUGUUUAAAUUUGCUGUAGUCUGUUUUCUUUGACUUAGAAUUAAAGAAAAUAAAAUGACCCAAACACUGUGAUAGCAAUGUUUUAUAGUGUGUUGAAAUGAGAUUCCUUUCAAACUUGCCAUCUUAAUAACAUUAACAUGUAUCCAUCCGAUAUUUGCUUAUGUGUUAGACAUUAUUUUGGGUAAUGAUCAUCGUGACACUUACUUGUCAAUGAUAAGAAUUUGGGCUGGUUUUUGUGUAUCAUCAUCGGAGAAGACAGAUUCUUACCCAUUCCAAGUGAGUGCUAAAAUGUGAAGAAGUUUCUGACAGAAAGGUGAAGAAAAGUAACUUUUAACCCACACAAAAAUUUAUUCUCUGGAAAAUCAAACUGCCAUUAAAAUCUCCUGGAAUUAAUAUUUUUAACAGUUUUUAUAUUGUUUACAGAGAGGUCAGUGAUUUCUUUACGUAAUACAAUUAUACAAAAGGAAAAAGGCACCGAGACAAUCGGUGUAUAGAUAGUAGAAAAGUAGAUAGGAGAAUAAAAUGCCACAUAUAGCACAUUUUCAAUUACAUGAAAAUGAUUAGAUAUAUGCUCAUUCUAUAAAAUGGGUCGUUUCACACACGCAUCUGUUUUAUAUUUUUGACCCCAAAUGCAAAUGAAUAUGUGACGAUAGUACAACACUUGUGAUAACCAUAAAGACACUUAUAUAUAUUAAUAAGAUCCAUUAAUGGUGUAGAGUCACUAGAAAAUAUGUUGGAGACAAUUGAAGACCAAGGGAAAUGUUAAUCAGCAGUGCAUUUCUUCAGGUUGUUUAAUAGAGUUUUGCUCACAGAGCAUUUAAUCUUCACCACACUGUUAUAGCCAUUAUUAGAAAAAUAAGUAAGAAAGCUCUGUAGAAACUAUACUAUUAAGGAAGCUUCUUUGCCUCCAAAAAAGAAAAAAAAUAAAGAAAAAGAAAGGAAAAAAAAAGAAAGAAAAACAAAGAAACAAGAAGAAAGGAGAGAAGCAAAGUAAGGGGAUACUGAAUAUAAGAUUCCACUAAUUGACUUUUCCAUAAAAAAUUACAUUAUUUUGAGAAAUAAAACACAAUGCAAGAGUAUUGAGCAGGGGUGAACAUCAUGAGUUUUAGAAAAAGAACAGAUCUUAACAUUUAUUGAGAACCUCAAAGCUCACAUAAUAAUUGGUUCUUCAUCAAGACCAACUGAACUGAAAAGAAACAUUGAUAACACUUUCUCAUUUCAAAAUUCUAAUAAAAAUCCAGCCAAAGUUUGGCUGUCCUCUCUACGACAGUUUUAAAGAUUCCUCAAAAUGGUUGCCACUAUAGUUUCACCACAAAAACAGAAAUCAUCUAAUUAAAAUUAUGCAGAAACAUUAUAAAUUAAUUUUGUAAUGCAAGCGACUACUGGAAACUUUCUCGUAGUAAAUUUAAAGCAAUAUUUAUGAUUUCAAAGUACUGUUAGAAGUAUCACCAUUAUUUUCUAGCUGUGCUUCACAUAAUUGUUUAAAUAAACUUAAAUACUAAGCGAGCCAAUUUAUAUGCAAAAGCUACCCUGGUUUCCCCUCGCAAAACAAAUGUGACAUAAUUAUAGAAUGCUGUAAAUGUUCUCAGUAUUUGUCCAGAAGGACUGCCCCAAACAAAAACAAACGCCAUCUGCCCCCCUCCCUCCCAACACAAGCCUUCCUAUGACUCUGUGGUCUGUAUUUCAGUUUUCCCUUUUUGAAAUUCUGCCCAGUGAAGUCAACAUUUGACAUUUUUUAAAACCAUGGCUUUUUAAGGCUUCCUCCCAAAAUUUAAAAAAAAAAAAAAAAAAAAGUGCAAGUGAGAAGAAGAUAGAAGACCAAAAGGAGGGACAAGAUGUCCUAAAACCUCAUUUCUAAGAAGUUGGCUUCUACUCCUUCAUGACUAGAAUCACUUGUAGGUAUUCGAGUUGUUCCUUUAUGCUUUAGGGGUCUUUUUUUCCUAUUGGUGUUUAUGUGGUACCCUCAUCCACAUUAAUGAAGGUUAUGAACAGGAAUCGGUGGUGAGGACCUACCCCCAGGGUAUAAAAGGUUGGGUUGUUACUGAAAACAACACCACAUGGAGGAGGUGAGCACACUCAGAAGCUCAAAGAUGAAGUGCUGGUAAGAGAUUUCACAACCAUCCCCCUUCGACCCAAUGUGAGGCAAGACAAACAAUAAAUCUUAGAGGUAUGGGAAAAUUCUUAUUUUCUCAUUAAACAAAAUAGUCGCAUUUAAUAUUAACUGCUUAAUAUUGCACUGGAUGUUGACUAACUAUAAUUUAUAUAAAAAUUUGAAGAAAAAAAUAGUAUUAACUGCUUAGAUUUAUGGAAAUAAGCAUUCCAGCAAUAGCUGAAUAUAUAAACGGAUUUCAGAAAAUUAUUUUUUCAGUGUAUAAUGGAGUAUUAUAUUCAUCUAUUGGGUAUUCAAUUUAAAAACAAUGUGUCAGCUGAGAGAUCCCAUGUUAAAGGAAUAAACAGAAAGGUAGUAAGGGGUUUUCUUUUUAAAGUAGUCUUGAAUAUUUAAAAGACAAGCUCAAACAUCAAAUACCAAUCAGAAUAAUAAAGAAAAGGGUGAAGAAGGAAAGUAAAAUAAUAGGACAAUUUAAGAUACAGACUGUCAACCUGACAUGGAAAUAAUGUCAAAAAUUUUGCAAAACUAUUGCCAUAGCAGUGACUUUGUUUGCAGUUUAGACAUUUUUAAUGUGCAAAGGGUUUAGAGUCUAUAAUAAAAUUAUGCCAAAUCUUUGUUAGAUUAAUAAUCAAGUUUCCUUCUCUGCUCCUGACCCACACAACGUAUGAAGGUACUUCACACUAGCAGAGGUAAUUGUACAACAACAACUAUCACCCAGAGCAACAGUUGACCUCUAGGGAUCAUGCUUUGCUCCCUCUAGUUGUGGGGAAAACCGGACUGGUCCUCUCACUGUCUGGUUCUUGUGAUUUAGGAAAAAAAAAAAAAAAAAAA
RNAcentral lists this long non-coding RNA (5342 nucleotides) under Canis lupus familiaris (dog). Its description in RNAcentral is "lncRNA (ENSCAFG00845003055.1)". The record is from RNAcentral. Lineage: Eukaryota; Metazoa; Chordata; Mammalia; Carnivora; Canidae.